AUUGGGCUAAAGCAUGUUUUUCAGAGGUCUCAGACGGGCCGCAUUUGUCAAAAGCUGUGUAUGGACACCUAGGCACUAUUAGCUUGGUAUUUUCUAAUCUGUUAGGUAUAAAGUUACCGAUGCUCUUUCGACACGAUAGAUCAGGCUUGGGAACCCAUUGAUUUGUUCCCCGACUAGUUACCAAGCCCUUACUGGGUGCAGGCACCUUGCUGGGCACUGAGAUUCGGUUGGCAAACAGAUUGACGUAGUUCUUGCCCUCGUGGAGUUUACAGUCUAAGGGGUCAGAGACAAAAAAAACCAGCCAAUUGCUACAAACACAAUAGGAACAUUCUAACCUAGAUUUAGAGUGUCAGGAAAGGCUUCUCCUGUAUGUCAUGUCCAAACACAUCCAAAAGACAGAUAGGACCUAAUGAAAGAGGGCAGGAGACCUCAAGGCAAAGGAACAGCAUUUACAAAGCCUGUGGGGGGGAGCUCCCAUGGUGGCUCAGCAGGUUACGACCCCCACAUAGUGUCCAUGAGGAUGAGAUUCAGUCCCGGGCCUUGCUCAGGUGGUUAAGGAUCUGGCGCUGCCACAAGCUGUAACAUAGGCUGCAGAUGUGGCUGGGACCCGGCGUGGCUGUGGCUGUGGCUGUGGCUGUGGCUGGCAGCUGCAGUUCCGUUUCUACCCCUAGCCCAGGAACUUCUAUACGCUGCAGGUGCAGCCCCGUAAAAAGAAAAAGAAAAAAAUAUAUAGAACAAUGGGAGCCAUGGAUGAUUUUUCAUAGACGGUUAUAAUCAGAUUUAUGUUUUAAAGAGAUCAUUCUUGCAGAAAUGGGUUGCAAAGCAUUGAGACAAGAGACCAGGAGAUCCAGUGGUUCCCUCCUGCAGUUGCCCAGCUGAGAGCUGCUGCUGACCCAUCGAGAAAGGCCUCAUGCCGUAUUUUCUAUUCAUCUAGUGUAAUUCGUUUACAGUAUUACACAUGGCUGAUAACAUUGCACUUGGCUUAGACUAUUCCUCCUAGGAGUCAGGCACUGUUCUAUUUAAACGGUCUCCGUUUUUUGUUUUUUAGCUUCCGUGCAGGUGAAGAGCGUUAGACAAUAAUCACAUGUUAAAAAUUAAUAUAAGAGAAGCCUUAUUCUCAGGGGCCCAAAGGUGGAUACAACUGACAUAUCCACUGAUAGAUGAAUGGACGAACCCAGUAUGGCCGGUAUGUGCAAGGGAUGGUCAUUCAGCCUUGCAAAGGGAUGUAGCUUGGACGCAUGGGACAAGGCAGAUGAAUUUUGAAAACCCGCUGAGCGAAGUGAGCCAGGCGCAAAAGGACACACACUGUCUGAGUGCACUUGUGUGAAGCGCCAGGAGUCACCCAAGUCACGGCGCUGGAAAGAGCAGAGGCCACCAGGGACUGACUUUUUGUUGGAGAAGAUGACAGAGUUCUUGACGUCAGUAGUGGUGAUAUUUGCACAGCAUCACGUCAUGCCACAGACUUACACACGUAACCUGGUGGAAAUGCUGUGUGUAUUAUACCGCAGUUAGAAAAACCACACCCCUCAUUCCCCGCACAGCCGAACACUCUGUGAAUCUGUAAGACCUGCAGGCAAGAGUGGCCCCAACGGUGUCAGUCGAUUGUUUUUCUGGGCCCAAACGUGUAACACAUGAUGGUAAAUGAAUGAAGCGGUAGAGGAGAUGAUGCCUGGCGGGGUCGGGGGAGAGGGGACUUGGAGCGGCGGGUGGGCUCCUUCUUUAGGUGACGUGGUUAGAGAAGGACUCGGAAGAAGUGCCAUUUAAGCUGAAACCUGACAGAAAGACUCAGCCGUACAGGGACCUGGGGAAGGAGCAUUCUGGGUAGAGAGACAAAGGCACUCAGGUUGUGAAGCGCUUGGCGGAGAGAAUAAAGAACAGGGGGGCUGGAGUUCCCGCUGUGGCUUAGCGGGUUAAGGACCUGACAACACAGUGUCCCUGAGGAUGCGGGUUCAAUCCCUGGCCUCGCUCUGUGGGUUAAGCAAGGACCUGGCGUUGCUGUGGCUGUGCUGUAGGCCGGCAGGUGCAGCUCCACGUUGACCCCUAGCCUGGGAACUUCUGCUGGACACUGUGGGUAGAGCCGAGUGGUGGGAGGCAGGCAGAGGCCAAGGCAGGAGCCAGGUUCCAAAAGGCUCGCCCGUCACAGGAGGGAGGGCAGCUUUCGUCUCAUCGCUGUGGGAGGCACUGGAGGAUUUUAAACCCGGUAGAGAUAUGAUCAGAUUUUUGUAACAAAAAGAUGACCCAGCUGUGAGGUGAUGCCUGUGGGGGCAGAGGUGACGACGUGGGGGGACAGCAGGCUGUGCCCAGGAAGGCAAGGCUGGGACACAGACGGCACCGAUGGGAGUGCAGCCGGCGGGCCAGGUCUGCAGGACCAGAGGGCCGAGGGCAGGGGAGCCUGCGAUUCAUCCAGGGCUUCUGGAUGCAGGUGGGGGCCGCUGAGGUGUCAGGUUGUUUAGGUCCUGGGUCCACACUCUUGAGACCUGUGUCCGGUUCCUCCAGGGAGGCCGUGUUUGUAAGAUGUGUAGCAAAGAGAAAGAGCUUUGGCUUUGGGGUUCGGGAGGCUUGGGUUUGAGUGAACCCCACUUACCAACUUUGGGAAAAAUACAUAAUCUCUUUAGGCCUCUGAAAAUGAGGUUAAUAAUGGGAAAUCUGGGUGCAGCAGGACCCCUAAAAAUGAUUGAUGCCUUCCCACCUCCCAGCCCCACUGGAGGAAAACCGUGGGCUCCGAAGUCAGUCAUACAAGGUCUGGUCUGAAGGAUCAGUCAGACAGGUCUCAGAAGACACCCCGAUUCCUGCACUUCCAUAUCGUAGCUGAAAAAGGAAAAAAGCGCUCCCCGGAAGCCUGCGGCAAGCUUCGGGGAGGCUGUGAACCCAGACCGCCAGUCAUAAGCAAGGUCAACCCCCAAACCUCUAAAGCCUUCUGGCAACAACAGAAAACACUGUUAAGUAAUGGGGCGGGAGGGGCGGGGCUGGGUCUCCUUCACGAGAAUGACAAAACCAAAAGACAGGGACAAAUCAGAAAGGUAUUCAAGUCCUUAUGACGGAGAAAAGUACCAGCAUGACUGAAGAACCUAAGACAGAAAUCCAAGGAGAGAGAGACCGCAUUCCCAGAUGGUGAUAUUCAAUAUCGACGUCGGUUUUUACCAAAUCGAUUUUAAAACUCAAUAGCAUUUCAAUCAGACUCUCAGUAGGUCUUGUGUGGGAGUGUGGAAUUUUCCAAGACAGAUUUAUACAGAAAGCACAAAGCCCCAAAAUAUCUAGGACAAAUUUGAAGACUCUCUGGAGAUACCUGCUGUAUCGGAUACUAAAACUGACUGGAAAUGAUGCUGAGUUAGUCAGAGCAACACUGCUGUUGGAAUAGAAGCACAGACCAAAGGAGAGACCCCAGAAAAACAAAUUCAUGCAUAUACAGAGGCUUGCUGUAUGGCACCAGGUAUUGGCAUCGCAGAUCGAUUAGGGGAAAUGACUGGAAGCUAACUCAUAACACAGACAUCCACAGAUAAAUUCCAGGUGUAUUAAAGACCCAAAUGUUAACAACAAGCACUUAAGAAAAAUGUCUUCAAAGUCUUAUAUUAUGGAAGGAUUUCACAGACGAGGUCCAAUUGGUAAGUCUGCCUACGUUAACGUUAAUCUUAUCUGUUCAACAGAAAAUACUGCAAACAAAAUGAUAAACUACAUGAUGGAGGAAGAUAUUUGCAUUUUGGCUAAAGAUAAUUAAACAUUAGUAUCCAGGAGUUCCCGUUGUGGCUCAGCGGUAACAAACCCGAGUAGUAUCCAUGAGGACUCGGGUUCGAUCCUUGGCCUCACUCGGUGGGUUAAGGAUCCCGAGUUGCUGUGGCGGUGGUGUCAGUCGGCAGCUGCACCUCUGAUUUGACCCCGGGUCUGGGAACUGCCAAAUGCUGCAGGUGUGGUCCUAAAAAAGAAAAUAAUUAAAAAAAAAACAAAAACUAGUGUCCGGAGUCUAUUUUAAUGCUGUAAAUGAAUAAAAUAUAGAAACAUAGCCUAAUAUAUAAAACUGGACAAAGAAAAUGAACAUAAAAUAGGCAGAGGAAAUUUAACUGGUGUGAAAGGAUGCCCAGCCUCCCUCGUUAUGAGGUUGUGCAGACGCCCGUGCAAUUGCUCAACCCCCCAGUCCCCGGGACAUUUGUGGUGGGUCACAGAGACACUGUGGCUUGGAGCUCGAUGCCACCUUCAUGCCUAACUCUUUCAACUUUGCCACAGCAUCAGCUGCCAGGGUGAUAAUGGAAGUCAGAUCUUAAGCCAAACCGCAAUGGGAUGAAGACGUGGCGAGGUGGGGAGGCCCGGAGCUGUAGGGAUAGUGUCAUAGCCGGUGGACAGCAAAAGUCACAGGAGGCCUGAUCAUGAGCUGAAAUGUAUGCCAAGCCUCUCCUUGUGCCCAUUUGGUACCGGGUAAGGGAAGGAGGCUGGUGCUCUAGGCAGGCCGAGCCUCACGUGGAAGGUGGUGACUCUGAAAAUGAUGUGGUACAAACCUGUGGCCGCCUCUGGCCACCUGGUGGCCUCUGUCCUUGUUGCACACUUACCUCAGUCUUAGUGAGGAAGCCAUGUCUCUUGAGCAAGACUUAUCACCCAAAGUCCCAGUGGGCUGGAUGCCUUCGCCUCCCCCAGAGGCUUUGUAGGUAAUGCCUUCGCUUAUCCAAUAGGUAAUGACUGAAGGCCCCACUCGUACCAGACACUGUUCUAGGUGCUUGCGAUACACCGAUGAGCAAAGUAAACACCUCUGUACUCCUGGAGUUUACAUUUUAGAGGGAAGGGGGGCAUUAUAAACCCUCAAAAUGGACAAGUAAAUGGUUUAUCUCAGAUGCCACCCCAGACCUACUGAUAAGAGAAUCUGCAGGUUAACCAGUUCCUCUAGUGAUUUGUAUGCACAGCACGGGUCGAGAGGUGCCGAGAGUCCUUAGCUUCUUCUGCCCUUACAAGUGCACAUCCAGUGAGCACAGCUGGGUUGGCUUUCUGCCAGACCGACACCAGCCUGUUCUCGGUAACAGGCAGUGAGGACACCCCUCACUUCUGGCUGUGGGAAGCAGCAUUCAUGAGCAGAUAUUAUAGGCAACACUUAGCAAGUCAUUUUUGAAUUUAGGACUGCUUCCUUGACUAUAAAUGUGCCCAUGUCUUAUACUAAACAACUACUGGCUAUAAUUAAGGCAACUCGAAUGGCAGCAAGUGGUUCUGUUAUUUUAUGCACCUUGCUAUUCUGGAACAAUUUAUUUUAGUGCUGGUACAUCUGGUUAUAGAAAAAAUAUUGACUUCUUUGCUAAAUAAAGGUAUUCUCACUAUUUUCUUCAUUUUAGCACCGAGAGAGAGGCAGGUAGUAAGAGCCAAAGACAGGAGUCAGAACUGCCCAAGGCAUCUUUCCAUCUGCAAGUCAGUGUCCACCUCUCCCACUUCCAGAAGGUUCUUUUCAUGUUUCUCCACAUGAAAACAAAAUGUCCAUUUUCAGUAUCCAGCUCCUAGUUGGUCUAUUCCAUUAAUAUUUUUAUUUUAUUUUUAUUUCAUCCUUAAAUGAAGUGAUUAACUUUCAGCUUACAGUCUGUGAUUCAUUUCAACAGGAAGCGUAUACUGACUUAGCCAGCUCCACAUACUUGCUUUGAACUGUUUAUGUCUUGUGAACUGCCCCUGAAGCCUCAGAUUAUUGUUUACAUUCUCAUACAUUUAAAUCAUAGUUACCAGGGAGUUCCUGCUGUGGCUCAGUGGUUAACAAAUCCAACUAGGCACCAUGAGGUUGUGGGUUCGAUCCUUGGCCUGGCUCAGUGGGUUAAGGAUCCGGCAUUGCCAUGAGCUGUGGUGUAGGUCGCAGACAUGGCUUGGCUGUGUUGCUGUGGCUCUGGUGUGUAUGUCGGCGGCUACAGCUCCAUUAGACCCCUAGUCUGGGAACCUCCAUAUGCCGCAGGAGCAGCCCUAGAAAAAGGCAAAAAGACCAAAAAAAAAAA
RNAcentral lists this long non-coding RNA (5945 nucleotides) under Sus scrofa (pig). RNAcentral describes it as "lncRNA (ENSSSCG00050077966.1)". Lineage: Eukaryota; Metazoa; Chordata; Mammalia; Artiodactyla; Suidae. The record is from RNAcentral.